AUACAGGACUCAUAUCCGAGGCCCUGUAAUUGGAAUGAGUACACUUUAAAUCCUUUAACAAGGACCAAUUGGAGGGCAAGUCUGGUGCCAGCAGCCGCGGUAAUUCCAGCUCCAAUAGCGUAUAUUAAAGUUGUUGCGGUUAAAACGUUCGUAGUUGAACUUGUGCUUCAUACGGGUAGUACAACUUACAAUUGUGGUUAGUACUAUACCUUUAUGUAUGUAAGCGUAUUACCGGUGGAGUUCUUAUAUGUGAUUAAAUACUUGUAUUUUUUCAUAUGUUCCUCCUAUUUAAAAACCUGCACUAGUGCUCUUAAACGAGUGUUAUUGUGGGCCGGUACUAUUACUUUGAACAAAUUAGAGUGCUUAAAGCAGGCUUCAAAUGCCUGAAUAUUCUGUGCAUGGGAUAAUGAAAUAAGACCUCUGUUCUGCUUUCAUUGGUUUUCAGAUCAAGAGGUAAUGAUUAAUAGAAGCAGUUUUGGGGGCAUUAGUAUUACGACGCGAGAGGUGAAAUUCUUGGACCGUCGUAAGACUAACUUAAGCGAAAGCAUUUGCCAAAGAUGUUUUCAUUAAUCAAGAACGAAAGUUAGAGGUUCGAAGGCGAUCAGAUACCGCCCUAGUUCUAACCAUAAACGAUGCCAGCUAGCAAUUGGGUGUAGCUACUUUUAUGGCUCUCUCAGUCGCUUCCCGGGAAACCAAAGCUUUUGGGCUCCGGGGGAAGUAUGGUUGCAAAGCUGAAACUUAAAGGAAUUGACGGAAGGGCACCACCAUGAGUGGAGCCUGCGGCUUAAUUUGACUCAACACGGGAAAACUUACCAGGUCCGAACAUAAGUGUGUAAGACAGAUUGAUAGCUCUUUCUCGAAUCUAUGGGUGGUGGUGCAUGGCCGUUCUUAGUUCGUGGAGUGAUUUGUCUGGUUAAUUCCGAUAACGACACAGAGACUCAAAUAUAUUAAAUAGAUAUCUUCAGGAUUAUGGUGCUGAAGCUUAUGUUAGCCUUCAUGCAUGGUGGCAGUAGAAUGUAUAUUGUGUCUGAAUGUGUUUAUGUACGUGGAGCCGUACCUGUUGGUUUGUCCCCAUUAUAAGGACACUAGCUUCUUAAAUGGACAAAUUGCGUCUAGCAAUAUUGAGAGUGAGCAAUAACAGGUCUGUGAUGCCCUUAGAUGUCCUGGGCUGCACGCGCGCUACAAUGAAAGUAUCAACGUGUAUUUCCUAGACCGAGAGGUCCGGGUAAACCGCUGAACCACUUUCAUGCUUGGGAUUGUGAACUGAAACUGUUCACAUGAACUUGGAAUUCCCAGUAAGUGUGAGUCAUUAACUCGCAUUGAUUACGUCCCUGCCCUUUGUACGCACCGCCCGGCGCUACUACCGAUUGAAUUAGGGGGUGAGGCCCCCGGACGUGAUCUCUGUGACGCCCCCCCCCCCCCCCCCCCCCCCAAAAGUUGACCUGAACGCCGCCCUUGCUCCAAGCGACAAUUUAAGAAUAUUUU
RNAcentral lists this ribosomal RNA (1485 nucleotides) under Drosophila sechellia. RNAcentral describes it as "SSU rRNA". It matches the Rfam family "Eukaryotic small subunit ribosomal RNA", at positions 483 to 1739 of the family's 1831-position model. The record is from RNAcentral. Lineage: Eukaryota; Metazoa; Arthropoda; Insecta; Diptera; Drosophilidae.